UGCAUGGCACGGCAGUGACGCGGCGGCGGCGCGGCACGAGGAGGUGGUGUCAGUGUGGUGCUGUGGUGGUCGGGGAAAACGCAGAUUUCGGCAUUUGGUGUGAGGGCGUUUUGGAGGUGGUGAGCACUUCGCCCUGAACUGCGAACGGAUUUGUGCAACAUAUCUCGCACCUUACUUAGACAGUUUGUGAUGCAUCUUGUCACCUAAGCAUUGAAGACGUAGUGAUUAAAUGCUUGCCACCGUGCCGUAACCUCCUGCGAGUGACUGUCGACCUCUGACUGACUGCAUCUCCUCCUACCGUCCACCAUGAAGAUCAGCUACGUGACGUGUCGGAUCCAGUUUCUGAACGACGUCGACCCGUUCGGGUACAGUGCCGGUCUGGAGCCCACCCGGCCUCCCUCCUAUGUGUUCAACACGCGCCUGCCGCUGGGGAACCAGCUGCCCAGCGUGCACCGUCAGCUCAUGGCGCCACAGAAGCUAUCGGAUGCUACACUACAGAUUUACCGGGACGGCGAGCUGGGCAGCUACCUGGACCCCGAGUUGUCCAUCAACGAACAGCAUGACGAGUUCGAGGGCUUCGUCGACAAUCCGAAGAACGCGCUGGUGGUUCGGACCCAGCUGUCGGUGCGGUGUCACGCCAUCAUCGAAAAGCUGCUCAACUCUCAGGACAGGGACCUGCGCAGGGCGCUCUUCUCACUCAAACAGAUAUUCCAGGACGACAAGGAUCUUGUUCACGAGUUUGUCUGCAACGAUGGCCUCGAAUGUCUCAUCAAAGUGGGCAUGGAGGCUGACCAGAAGUACCAGAACUACAUUUUACGAGCUCUCGGUCAGGUGAUGCUGUACGUGGACGGCAUGAACGGUGUCAUGGAGCACCCGGAGACCAUCCAGUGGCUGUACACGCUGCUCGACUCGCAGUACCGCCUGGUCGUGAAGACGGCACUCAAGCUGCUGCUCGUCUUUGUCGAGUACACGGAGCCCAACGGACUGCUGCUGGUCAGAGCCGUCGGAGCCGUUGACAGGGAGAGAGGCCGGACCCCAUGGCACGGUCUGAUGACCCUGCUCAAGUCGUCGGACGCCGCCGAUGCCGAACUACUCGUGUUUGCCAUCACACUGAUCAACAAGGCGCUGAACGCUGUGGACGACCAGUCGGUGUUCUACGACAACACCGACUGGAUCGAGGAGCUCGGCAUCGAGGCCGUUACCAACAAGUACCUCUCUCGGGCGGACACUGAGCCGGAGCUCUCUCAGCAGCUGCAGAUCUACGAGGCCGUGCUGCGGAAGGAGGACGGCGAGUCGGACGGCAACAGCAUGCCGGCGGACGCCAGUAUCAGGACGCUGCCGCGGCUGCGGCGCGGCGCGGCCGGCGAGCCCGACCAGCGGCGUCGCUCGCGACGCUUCUCGACGCGCCGCGUCUCCUCCGACUCGCCCAGCUCUCCGGAAGAGGAGAGCGAGGGUGGAGCGCCCACGUUCGCCUUCUACCGACCGGUCGGCGAGAACUGGACCGUCAGCGACCGGCGCCGCAUGUUCGCCAGAGACGGGCCGAGCAGCUCCGGAGCAGGGGUCGAGAUCAACGGACACUCGGGCUCACAGCAGGACGCCUCCAAAUACGCCGAGAUGGGCGUCACCCCGGGCCUCCGCCGGCGCCGGGAGAGGCAGGAGCGGCAGAGGAGCUUCAUCCGCGAACAGGAGGAGCGGGGCUCACUCUCUCCGGAAAAGGAGGAGGCGGACAGGAGGACUGACGAGCAGAACCGCAAGAACGCGCAGCUGAGCCGCCUGGAGCCGCCGGCGACCGGCGGCGUGCCCCUCACCCGAGAUCCCAGCUCCCUGGGCUCGGACCACGGACCGGCGCCGCUCUGCCGCACCGAGUCCGGCAUCCUGAAGAAGCCCUGGGUGCUGGGUAUGAUGUACCAGAAGGCGCCCGACGAGCACCCACCGGCCUCCACCACCGGCGGGGAGGGUGACGAGGCCUCCCGGAGGCGACUAGAGCUGGACCUCAAACAGGACAGCGUGCGGGACCUGCGGGAGAAGCUGCUCAGCCAGCCGAGCCCGCUCUCACCGGGCGAGGAGCGGCCCGGGCGGCUGGGGGACACCAGCGGGCUCAUCUCCAAAGCCAAGGAGGAGCUGUCGCGCUCCAAGAGCAAACACGACCUCAAGAGUCCCGAGGUGGUGCGUCAGGCAGCUCCCGAGGCGCCCAAGAAGUCCGAGAACGACCUGCACUGGGAGCAGCUGAUCCGUGGUCUGGAGAGACCUCUGGUGCUGGCAGAUCUGGACUUUUCCGAUCUGAAUGACCGCGAUGACGCCGAUCUGCCGACGCUCUCGAUGUCGGUGGGGACGAACGGCGUGCCGCCGCCGCCCCCGCCCAUGGGAGGCGUGCCGCCGCCGCCGCCCAGGAUGCCCGGCAUGCCGCCCCCGCCCCCGCCACCGGUACCUGGCGGCCGACCCGGCAGGACGGUGACAGACGGCAAACAGUCGGCAUUCUAUCAGAACAGGACCAACGGCACGGCCCCGACGAUACCGGCCAAAACCAAGAAGACGGUCAAACUCUUCUGGAGGGAGGUUCGGGACGAGUUCCUGCCGGCCAACCAGACCACCAUCUGGGACGAGAUCGCCGAGGUAGCCGUCGACACGCAGAAGCUCGAGCACCUGUUUGAAUCUCGCGCCAAAGAUCUGAUCGUCAAGGAGAAGCAGCAGGAGUCGAAGGGCACCAAGGAGAUCGUGGUGCUGGACCACAAGCGGUCCAACGCCAUCAACAUCUGCAUGACCAAGCUGCCGCCGCCGCGCACCAUCAAGACGGCCAUCUUGAAAAUGGACGCCACCAUCAUCAACAAGGAGGGGAUCGAGAAGCUGCUGUCGCUGCUGCCGUCGGAUGAAGAGAUAAGUAAGAUCAGCGAGGCCCAGGUGGCCAACCCGGAGCUGCCGCUCGGCUCGGCGGAGAACUUCCUGCUCACUCUGGGCUCCAUCUCAGAGAUCGCCGCUCGACUCAAGCUGUGGGUCUUCAAACUGGACUAUGACAACACAGAGAAGGAAGUGGCCGAGCCUCUGAUGGACCUCAAGCAGGGCAUCGAAUUGCUGACCAAGAACGCCACCUUCAAGUCGAUCCUGACGGUGCUGAGGAGCGUCGGGAACUUCCUUAACGGCUCGGAGGCGAAGGGUUUCAACGUGGACUACCUGGCCAAGGUCCCGGAGGUGAAGGAUACGGUGCACAAGCACUCACUGCUGCACCACCUGUGUCAUAUGGUGAUGGAGAAGUACCCCGACUCGUCCGACCUCUACUCAGAGGUCGGCCCGGUCACUCGCGCCUCUCGUAUCGACUUCGACGACCUGGAGGCGACGAUUCGACGGAUGGAGAGCGAGUGCAAGGCGUCGUGGGACCACCUGAAGGUGAUCGCCAAGCACGACGGGCCGACGCCGAUGCGACAGAAGAUGUCGGAGUUUCUGGCCGACUCGGCGGAGAGGAUCAUCGUACUGGGCAUCAUCCACCGACGGGUUAAUAACAGGUUCUGCAAGUUCCUCUCGUGGCUGGGCGUGGCCCCUCACCAGCUCCGCGACACCAAGCCGCACCACUUCUGUAAGGUGGUGUCCGAGUUCGCGCUCGAGUACCGCACCACUCGCGAGCGCGUCCUGCAGCAGCUUGAGAAGAAGGCCAACCACCGCGAGAGGAACAAGACGAGAGGAAAGAUGAUCACUGAUACGGGUCAGGCGUACGACCCUGCGGGCCGCUCGAGCUCCAACCGUCGGUACCGGACCAAGGAGGAGAAGGCCGACGACGACCUGAAGCAGCUGCUCGGUACCAGUGACGUGUCCGAUACAGAGACUCUGAGGCGGUCCAUGCACUGGAGGCGGAAACGGGAGAGUGAGUGCCGUGGAGGGGUUAGAGUCGGUGGCAGAGUCAGUCAGAGUCAUUGGGGUAAAGUUAGGCAGAGUCGGUGACUUCAUCGCCGACUCAUACUCAGAUGAUCAGAAGCGGAGUGACGGUGGAGAGUUCGGGGAGAGUGAGAAUGGUGGUCUGAUAACGGUGAAGGCUUCACAUGGGUUUUGUUUUUUGUGUGUAAAUACUGAGGUGGGAUAUAGUGCAGCUGUACUUUAUAUGGCAACGGUAUAUAGUGCACUUGUUCUUAGUACGUCAACACAACACGUGCAGUGACGUCACACGAUUUCUGAACACGAUGUCUAAAACUGGGUGCGGCGAGGGCUCACACAGAUGUAAGUUAGUGUUUAUUUCAUUUCUGUUUUCUGUCGCAGGCUGUGUGUUUGACGUUUAAAUCCCUUAUGACCACAUGAAAAGCGUACAUAUUUAUCGAUCUCGCUGAAUCCGGGCUCAUACAUACAGUGCUUCGCUUCAGUGAAGAGUGAAGACUAUAAAACAACCCUGAAUCAUCCAUUUAACUAUUAUGUGAUAUAUGCUGUUCUUGACCCGCAUUGUAUUUAACGUAAUAUAAAAUCGUCCAAAUAACCAACACCCAAGUGAGCUGACUUUUAUGCAACCCUAACUGAAGAAGCAUGUUAGAGUGUUAUAACGUUAAGUCCAGUCAGACAUGCUGGACACCCGUUGGAUGUUAAUGUCUGACGUGUAAUGCAUGUUCUGCAGGUAAGGGCAGCCACAACGACUCGCUGACUGACGGCGAUGAGAUCCUCGAGUCGCUGGUGAAGUCGGCCACGCGCGGUCCCACCACCCGCUCCACACCUAGGGAGAGACGGAGGACGUCCCGUAAUGCUGAUAGAAAGUCGCUGCGGAGAACGCUGAAGAACGGUCUCAGCGAGGAAGAGCAGCACUACCUGCUGACGCUGGCUGCUCAGGUGCAGCAGUGCUGAGCUGAGCUGAGCUGAGCUGAGCUGAGCUGGGUUGGACUGGACUGACGGACGCCACCGGUGGCUCUCCUUCCCACACCGCGCCGUAACCUCACUGCCUAUGUCAUGUCCAUGUACCCGCCGCCGCACUGUGAGAGAUGUGAGAGGGUGAGGGCGCCGGUACCGAGCCGUCCCGCCGGUGAGAGGGGCUGACUGUCCCUCAGUGGCGUCUCGAGCUCCCAUCGGCGGCCUGCAGUGCCUACCGCGCCCGGGUCUCCCAGCGCUGGGCGGUGUGGCUCUCUAGUCUGUGGCCGUAUCGGCUGCAUCGCCUGAGUCCCGUGUGGAGUCACGGUACACAGGCUGACCAUGCUCGUCCACAAAUGCCGGCGACGUCGGAGGUCGUGCCGCGUGCCUUCGCAGAACGGCCGUCUCUCGGGACGAGGACGUUUAGGUGACCACGGCCUGGCCAGUGGACGGACCGAAGGCGCGUCCCGUCCGGCGAGGGCGUACUAUUUGUCGGUCAUGUAUGUUCGCCGCGGGGCACGAUCUGCGCGCCAGUUAUGAGCGUUUGGCGCGGUUUUUGUACGGUAUCGUGACGUUAUGUCGGUGCGCGGUGACCCCGCGUCGGUCGGAUUUCUGUGAGGACGGACCGCGUCCGGAGCAUGCGGGCGUCUGUAUAUACUUUAUGCAUACAUCCAUAGACGUGCGGUCGUGUGUGUAUGUGUGUGUGUGCGGGUGGCGCGUGUGUGUUAACUGUGAUGUCGGGGCGCGUGACUGUGAUACCUCUUUGCAAUGCGCGCGAACACAGGCCUACACGGCCGCAAAUACACUGAAUUGUGUCUCAUCGAGA
This 5638-nucleotide unclassified non-coding RNA is filed under the name Amphibalanus amphitrite. RNAcentral describes it as "fH1/FH2 domain-containing protein 3-like, transcript variant X3". Lineage: Eukaryota; Metazoa; Arthropoda; Thecostraca; Balanomorpha; Balanidae. The record is from RNAcentral.